AAAAAAGAAGCAGAAUGCUUCUUCUUCCUUGCUCCCUCUCCAUUUUUGCUAGGAGUUCAACCUAGCUUGCGUCACCCUGAAGGAUCAUCAGUGCCACGCACCUCCACCCCAUCACCGGUUCAUGGAUCAAGACCGGGUAAGCCCUCCUUUCUUUCUUUUUACUUAAAAUCAGUCUAUAAACAAAAUAAAAAAGGAAAAAAAUACGAAUAAAAAAAGUUACAAGAAGAAGAAUGAAAAAUCACUUUUCAAUCCUGAGACUAGAUUUUUGAUUUACUUUCGAUCUUUUCUCUAUAAUUUCUGCUAGUGUACUUAUAUAAUGAGCAAAAAAAAAAGAGCCCCGUUUACAAUGUUUAAAAUGGCUUUUAUAGCCUAGAAAAACAAAUAAACUCUUCUAUUGGUUGCUAUCUGUUUGCUUCCUGUUACAGGUGUUGUUGCGGAUAUUUCGGAAGCACAAGGCGUGACAAAGAGGGACUGCUGGUAGCGCACGUCUCGGAGGUGUAGUGGAUGGUGGAGGCACGUGGGGAUGGGGGUAUUUGGGGUGAAUUUUGUUUUAGUUUUGGGCUGUUUUGGGUUAUAGGAUUGGGCUAGUGGUUAAUGGGUUUGAUUAGUGGGCUAGGCAAAGAAAAUUGGUCCAACAGCUGCCCCUCUUUGCUCAUUGUCGUGUAACGAGAAUAGAGCAAAGACUUAGAAGGGCCAAUUUUGCCUGGCCCCAUCAUGUCUUGACUUCUUGAUUGCCUCUUUUCUUCAAGUAGCCUCGUUUUAACCCACUGCAUCCUAUUACUUCCAGAUGCUUCAUUGAUGCUUUGUAGAUAUACGAUUUAUUGAAACUUGAUCCAUUCCAUUCCUGUUCAGUGGGGUGGGAUCUGCUGAAAUCUGAUAUGCUCUGCUCCUGCUUAGUGAAGAUAAGAUUGGUGGCUGAAAUCUGCUCCAUUGUCGAUCCAUGGAGAUAAGAUUCACCGAAAUUUGGUCUGCUCCGCUCCUGCUCAGCGAAGAUAAGACCUAGUAUAUUUAGCUUGCUCCACUUCUGCUCAGUGAAGAUAAAGCUGAUGAUUGGAAUCUGUUUAAUCGCCGGUACGUGGAGAUAAGAUUCUCCAAAAUUCAAUCUGCUUCACUCCUGCUCAAUUAAGAUAAGAUUUGGUAUAUUUAGCCUGCUCCACUCCUACUCAGUGAAGAUAAGGUUGAUGAUUGGAAUCUGCUCCAUCGUCGGUAUGUGGAGAUAAGAUUCUCCAAAACUCGAUCUGCUUCACUCUUGCUCAGUGAAGAUAAGAUCGGGUAUGUUUAACCUGCUCCACUCCUGCUUAGUAAAGAUAAGAUUGGUGAUUGGAAUCUACUCCAUCGCCGGUACGUGGAGAUAAGAUUCUCCAAAACUCGAUCUGCUUCACUCCUGCUCAGUGAAGAUAAGAUCGGGUAUGUUUAACCUGCUCCACUCCUGCUUAAUGAAGAUAAGAUUGGUGAUUGGAAUCUGCUCCAUCGCCGUUACGUGGAGAUAAGAUUCUCCAAAACUCGAUCUGCUUCACUCCUGCUCAGUGAAGAUAAGAUCGGGUAUGUUUAACCUGCUCCACUCCUGCUUAGUGAAGAUAAGGCUGAUGAUAUCUGUCUUUUUAAUCAAUCCUACUACAUUGUCCACUGGGGGAUCCUAUCUGUAGAAGAGUGAUUUUAUGCUUAUGCUAGAUGUUUAGGAUGCCAUGAUUAAUCAAAUGCUCCUAACUAGAUGUCUUAUGCAUAUUUAAAUGCAUAAAUCCAAAAUGUCAUGAGAAUGAUCAUUUAAAUUUUUAGGCUGUUAUCGCUCGCUAUUUGUUAUGGUAACAUCCCUGACGUAUGCCUUCUCAUCCAGCUUGAUAAAAGAGGGCUUGAGGAUACUGUAAGUCCCUUUUCCUUCAUACGUUUCUAGCUCUUUAAGCCUGGUGAGUUUUAAAUAAUUUUCCUGUUUCAGGAUCUUGUAUUGUUUAGAAAUCUUUCAGAGUAAUACGUAAAACCUCUUUUGAGAACAUUGUUAGUUCAUUAAUCAUUAUUUCAAUGUAAAACGCUUGAAAAAGAUCAUAAGGGUAAAUGGAACUGAAAUUUAUUCGAGUACUAGUUCACGAAAGAUGUACUAAAGAAAGAAAGCAUUGAUUAUUUGAAAUACAAAAAUGGAUAAAAAGAACAAAUAUUUGCCCCAGAUUCUGCAGUUUGAGCUUCUCUGAACGAACUACUCGAAGACCAUUCUACACUUGACAUGUGCUCAAGGGAUCUAUAGCAUUUGUCGAUGCCCCAAUAUGUAGCCCAUCCCUUCUUUGUCGAUUCUAGUGUAAUGAGACUGCUACUUGCCCUAGUCUGGAUCAAUUUUUGAAUUGCCCUUUGUGGGUUUUCAAUUCAAAACCUCUUUGGUCUCAAGGCGUCCUUUUACAGGUUUUCACCUUGGCCUCUCCCUUUUUUUUUUGGUACCCUUUACAGGUUUUCACCUCAACUGCUUCAAGCAAAAUAUCUUUUAACAGAAUCUGAAUUUAUCGGGUUAGGCAAGCUCUUGCCAUCCAUCUUUGCUAGUAUCAAUGCCCCUCCAGAGAAAGCCUUUUUUACCAUAUAGGGUCCUUCCCAAUUUGGCAUCUAUUUCCCCCUGAAAUCUUUUUGCAUAGGGAGAAUAUUUUUCAAUACUAAGUCCCCUUCAUGGAACACCCUAGGGCGAACUUUUUUGUUGUAGGCUCGCAUCAUUCUCCUCUAGUACAUUUGACUAUGACGAAUAGCCUUCAGCCUCCUCUCUUUAAUCAAGUUUAGUUGAUCGUAACGAGAUUGGAUCCAUUCUGCUUCGUCUAACUUCAACUCUGAUAAAACUCAAAGAGAAGGGAUUUCGACCUCAAUAGGUAAAACUGCCUCCAUCCCAUAAACCAAUGAGAAAGGUGUUGCCUCGGUAGAAGUUCUGACAGAUGUCCGAUAAGCAUAAAGGGAAAAUGGGAGCUUUUUAUGCCAAUCUUUGUAGGUCUCUGCCAUUUUCCCUACAAUCUUCUUGAUAUUCUUAUUAGCUGCCUCAACCGCCCCAUUCAUUUUUGGGCGGUAUGGCGAUGAGUUGUGAUGUUUAAUGUUGAACUGACUGCAGACUUCUGCUAUUGCGCUAUUGUUCAGAUUCAAUGCGUUGUCAGAUAUGAUUCUUUCUGGCAUACCAUAACGACAUACGAUCUCCUUCUUCAGGAACUUGCUGACUGUCGACUUUGUGAAAUUGGCGUACGAAGCAGCCUCCAUCCAUUUGGUAAAGUAGUUAAUGACCACAAGAAUGAAUCGAUGUCCGUUGGAAGCCUUUGGAGAAAUCGGCCCAAUGAUGUCCAUACCCCACAUUGAGAAUGGCCAUGGGAAAGUCAUAACAUGGAGGGGUGAAGGAGGCACAUGGAUCUUGUCUCCAUAAAUUUGACACUUAUGGCACUUCUUAGCGUAAUUGAUGCAAUCUCCUUCCAUUGUGGACCAGUAAUAUCCGAAUCUCAUGAUUUGUCGAGCCAUUGUAAAACCAUUAGCAUGUGUCCCACAGACGCCAUCAUGGACUUCCUCUAGAAUUUUCUUUGCCUCAACAACGUCAACACAUCUUAGCAACACCUGAUCCUUUCUUUUCUUAUAUAGGACCUCACCGUCCAAGACAUAGUCACUGGCUAACCUCCUCAAUGUUCUUUUAUCAUUUUCAGUUGCUUGAUCUGGGUACGCACAGCUCUUCACAUAUUGUAAGAUAUCAUGAUAUCAAGGAUGAUCAUCUCUCUCUUCCUCUUCAUCGACAUUACAGCAGUGAGCCAGAGCCUCACAGAUACUCAUUUGAAUUGGCUUCAUAUCCUCCUGUUCAUUUACUUUGAUCAUGGAAGCCAGUGUAGCCAAGGUGUCAGCCAUCUGAUUCUCGUCUCGUGGGAGGUAAUGAAAGGUAAUAUCAUCAAACUCUUCAAUUAACUCCAGGAUUAACUUUUGGUAACUGAUCAAUUUGGGAUCUCUCGUUUCCCACUCGCCUUUAAGCUGAUAAAUUACCAAUGCAGAAUCUCCAUACACUUCUAAUACUUUGAUUUCGCGGUUUAUAGCUGCCUGAAUUCCCAUGAUACAUGCCUCGUAUUCUGCCAUGUUAUUUGUGCAGUCAAAAUCCAGCUUGCAAGUGCAUGGAUAAUGGUCUCCAUUUGGGGAUAUCAGUACUGCCCCAACUCCAUUUCCAACGGCAUUUGAUGCUCCGUCAAAAUUUAAUUUCCAAGAAUGAUCUUCAGACAUGUCUCCUUCAGCAAUUGCUACAUACAUUAGAUCUUCAUUGGGGAAACUGAAAUUCAAAGGUUCAUAGUCCUCCAAAGCUCUACUGGCUAGGAAGUCUGCUAUUGCACUCCCCUUCACAGCUUUUUGGUUUACAUAGACUAUAUCAAAUUCGGAGAGCAGAAUCUGCCAUCAGGCUAUCCUUCCGUUUAAAGCGGUUGAUUCCAUCAUGUAUUUGAGAGGGUCUAGCUUUGAGAUUAGCCAAGUUGUAUAGUACAACAUGUAUUGUCUCAACCUUCGUGUUGUCCAAACCAAAGCACAGCAUAGCUUCUCAAUUGGCGGAUACCUCAUUUCACACUGAGUGAAUUUUUUACUGAGGUAAUAUAUCGCUCUUUCUUUUCUCCCAGUCUCAUCGUGUUGGCCGAGCACACACCCCAUCGAACUAUCAAAUACUGUUAAGUACAGUAUUAAUGGUUUACCAGGGCUUGGUGGUGUUAGCACUAGGGGACUGGACAAAUAUUGUUUAACCUUUUCAAAGGUUUUUUGGCAUUCAUCAUCCCAUACCCCAGGAUUAUGCUUUUUAAGAAGACGGAAUAUGGGGUCACACUUCUCAUUCAGUUGCGAAAUAAAUCGUGCGAUAUAGUUUAGUCUCCCUAGGAAACCUCAGACUUCUUUUUGAGUUCGUGGCGGUGGCAGCUCCUGAAUAGCCUUGACUUUAUCAGGGUUGACUUCUAUUCUUUUCUCACUGACUACGAAGCCGAGUAACUUUUCGGACCUAGCUCCGAAGGUUCAUUUUGACGGAUUGAGCUUUAAUUGGAAUUUCUUCAACCUCAAGAACAAUUUUCUCAACACUCGCACAUGCUCCUUUUCAGUUCGGGAUUUUUCAAUCAUGUCGUCAACGUAGACCUCAAUUUCCUUGUGCAUCAUGUCAUGGAACAAGGUUACCAUGGCUCUUUAGAAUGUGGCUCCUGCAUUUUUUAACCCGAAGGGCAUCACCUUGUAGCAAAACGUUCCCCAUAAAGUUAUGAAUGUGGUUUUUUCCAUAUCCUCAGGAUGCAUCUUAAUCUGAUUGUACCCGGAGAACCCAUCCAUAAAGGAGAACAAUGAAUAGCCUGCCGUAUUAUCCACUAGAGUGUCUAUGUGAGGCAAUGGAAAGUUAUCCUUUGGGCUGGCCUUAUUUAAAUCUCUGUAAUCUACGCACAUCUGUACUUUCCCAUCUUUCUUAGGGACAGGGACGACGUUGGCCACCCAUUCUGAAUAAUUGACCACUUGUAGGAAUCCAGCAUUAAACUGCUUCUUGACUUCUUCCUUUAUUUUCAUUGCUACAUCGGGUCUCAUCCUUUGGAGCUUCUGCUGAACUGGCUUGCACUCCUUUUUUGUAGGGACACGGUGUACUGCGAUAUCGGUACUUAAACCAGGCAUAUCCUGAUAUGACCAUGCAAAGACAUCAUUGAAUUCUUGCAAUAGCUCAAUAAGGUUCUGUUUUGUUUUCUCGAAGUGCCAAUUUUAACUUCCCUCCCUUUUUCCAGGGCCACAAUCUCAGUAGCCUCUUUGUGUGGCAGGAUCUGCUCCUCUUCUCGCUCCACCAUUCUUAAAAAAUCGGGAGAUAAACCACAAUCCUCGUCCUCUUUAAAAUCCUGAAGUCUCUCAAAGUACAUGUCUCACUUGAAAGGAAAUUCCGGGCUUGUAUCAGCAUUACUCAUGACGUUGACAUCCGGGGGCCUGUUAUGAGUAUAAGAGAAUACCCAAAGAAAAUGAAAUGAAUAAUUCCUUUGUAUGUUAUGAUUGUGUUGAAAUGAAAAGGAAGAAAAAAUAAUUACUCGAACUGAUAUAUGAUAAUGCAUUUUUUAUUGAAAAUAAUAAUGUUUAAACAUGAGCCUAUUUCACAAAAGAUUCUUAUUGUCCCUAGGCUAGAAGACAACAAGUGGGUUUUAAAUAUUACCCUGUGUUAGCUCUAAAGAUUACAGGAAUUUCUUCCACAGUCCAGUUAUUCAAAACACUCCCAGGCUCAUACGGGCAAAUGCCCGAUAAAUUUCUUUCCAUUGCUUCCUCUUCAAACAUGGCGUUGAUGUUCCAAAUUCCUAUCACAUCCUCGACCAUUCCUUCUUUUAUCCUCUCCGGUGCAGAAUGAAUAAACCCUCCAGAUACAAAUGUUUGGAAAAUGUGGGGGAAGCUCAUCGGUUCCCACCUGACUUCUGUCCCACUCAAUCUUGCUCUCCGCUGUUCCUGGCUUCUUUCCCACUCAAUCUUGCUCUCCUUCUUCACUUGACUUGCAUCUAGCCUGAAUCCCAAACCGAAGCGAUCCCACUUGCCAACCAAGACUGGCACUCUAACUUGUCCACGGAGGUGCCUCCCGAGUCCUUUGCCAGGUAACGCCCCUUUCCCAACUGUCAGCUGCAGGCUCAUUUUCGUAGCCCCUGACAUCUUAGGUAUCGGAAUCCUGCUUCCUUCAGCUAUAAACAUGGCAUUUACAAACUCUAACGAUCGAAAUGAACAUUCAACCGCUUCGUUGUCAUUUUCUACGUAGGGUGCAUCACUGGUAACUGACCCUCAGUAACCAUUUUUAGCUUCUGGUGCAGCGAGGAUGGCAUUGCCCCAGCUGAGUGAAUCCAAGGUCUUCCUAAUAGACAGUUAUAGGAAGGCUUAAUAUCCAUCACGAGGAAAUCUACCUCGUACGCGUUUGGGCCAAUCUGAAGAGGUACCUCUAUCCUUCCUAUUACUUUUCUUUCUGUGCCAUCAAAUGCUCUUAAUAUGUUCUCACACGUCUUCAUAUAGGAAUUGUCUAUAGGUAAACGGUUUAACGUAGCCCAAGGCAACACAUUCAAUGCGGACCCAUUAUCAACUAGUACUCUGGGUAGCGUAUACCCCUUGCAACGUGUAGUGAUAUGCAGAGCCUUAGUAGACCCCCUACCCCCUGAUGGUAUCUCAUCAUCCCUGAAGGAGAUGAAAUUGUCAGCACUUAUGUUGCCGACAAGACGAUCCAGUUUGUUAACCGAAAUGUUAUCCGCAACAUAGGUUUCGUUCAACACUUUCAUCAAUGCGUUGCGGUGGACCUCCGAAUUUAACAGCAGAGCCAAUAUCGAUACGCGAUCUGGUUGUUGGUGUAGUUGUUCCAUAACACUAUACUCGCUGUGUCUUAGGAACUUCAAGAACUCUUUGGCUUCAUUUUCCAUUACUGGCUCAUUAACCAGUGGUUCUGAUCUCUCUACUUUUUGCUUGAGCAUGACGGGUUUCCCUUUUGCUGGUUCGGCUUCUGUGUUUGGCAUGUUAAUCGAAACCUCCUUCUCUGCAACUGCUAUACUACAAUUAUAAUUCCAAGGAACUCUAUGACUAUUUUUAUAAGGGAAAACUGUUGGCUUCUGGAUUAUAACUCUUGGUGUAACUCUUGCUUCUACUUUACUAACUCUGGGCUUCGAAAUAAUUAUCACUGGACGGCUGGCUCUGCAGCCUUCUUCACUCGACUCUCCUCCUAGAGAGCAUACAUCCUCCUCUUCGACAGACUUGAAGAAUUCAAUUCCUUAUUAUCCAUUAGACCCUGUACUAGGGCCCUGAACUCAAUACAAUUCUGGAUCUCGUGAUCUUUCUCAUUAUGGAAUUCACAGUAGUUCCGUGUAUCUUGGAUUUUAUCCCUCAACUCCUGCGGGACUAAACCUCUCUUCUGCAUUUCCUUCCAAACUAGCUUCAAUGGGGUUCUCACCUCCGCGAUAUUCAGCUUGACUUUCCUCCCCAUAUUCUCAAUUAUCGUGUUUACCCAUUUAUCAGUAUGACUGGGCAACGGAUUUUCCGUACCAGGUGUAUCAUCGAAUUUUACAACACCUGCUUUGAUAAGCCUUUCUACACACCUUUUGAACGAGGUACAGUUUUCUAUCGAGUGCCCCGUAAUUCCUGCGUGGUAUUCGCACUGAGCAUUUGCAUCAUACCAUUUAGGGUAUGGGGGUUGUAACGGUUCUAAGUGGAAAGGGACCACUACGUGUGCAUCAAAUAACUUUUUGUAGAGCUCCCUAUACGUCACUGGUAUGGGAGUGAAUUGGAACCUCUCUGUAUUCUGCCUUGUGUUAGGCUCUCGCCUUGGUGCGGCCUGUUGGCUUGUGACUAUCGUUCCCGAUUGGUUAAUCGUGACAGGUUUUGAAUACCCUGAGCUCACAUUACCUACCUCAUUUUCUCUUUUCUUUGGGGCUGACCUUCUUGUGCUUUCCCCCGUUUCUAUCUUCACACAUCUUAUCGCAUUUUCUAUUAUUUCGCCUGACAUCACUAUGUCUGCGAAACUCUUAGUUGCGCUUCUCACCAUAUGAUUGAUGAAAGGUGCCUUCAAUGUAUUGAUAAACAGCAUGGUCGUUUCUUUUUCCAGCAGUGGUGGUUGAACCUGUGUGGCAACUUCCCUUCACCUCUGGGCGUAUUUCCUAAAACUUUCACCCGGUUUCUUCUCCAUGUUUUGUAACGUGAUCCUGUCAGGUGCGAUAUCCGUUACAUGGCCAUAUUGCUUCAUGAAGGCUUGAGCUAAGUCUUUCCACGAUUUGAUUUGGGUACAACUUAACUGAUUGUACCAUUUCGCCGCAGCCCCAAUCAAACUAUCUUGAAAACAGUGAAUCAACAGCUGAUCAUUGUUGACAUACCCUGUCAUUCUCUGGCAGAACAUUGUAAUGUGAGCCUCCGGGCAGAUGGUUCCAUUAUACCUUUCAAAUUCUGGCAUCUUGAAUUUCGGAGGGAGUACAAAGUCCGGUACCAAACUCAAUUCCUUAGCAUCAACCCCGCAAUAAUAAUCUGUACCUUCUAAUACCUUGAACCUCUCCUCUAACCACUUGCAACGGUCUUCGAACUGUUUUGGAAGCUCAGCCCUUGCUUUUUUCUUUUCUUCAACAUCGUCGAGUUUGGGGACAGUUGGUUUUGCCAAAUUAUCGCCCGGAUUAGAACUUGAGCCUGUUGGGAGAUUCCCUAGCGCUGAAGUACCAGAUUGAUACUGAGGUCUAAUAUUAACAGACACUUUGGGUGGUUGGGCACUUGCUGGGGCAAAUCUAGGAGGAUAUGUGGAGUCUUCAUUGUCAUCCCCACUAUCACCCAUAGGGCCUUUUCCUUUGUCAGACCCCCCUUCAACAGCUGUGUUAGUUGGCUUAUCAUGUUGUUCUGUGACUCCAGCAUGUUUUUUGGGACUCUAGUAUUUGAUCCUUCAUCUCCUGCUGGAUCCUAGCCAGCUGUUCUUGCAUCCGAGCUUGCAGUUGCUCCUGCAUUUAUUCUAAUUUCUCUAACCUCUAAUCCAUAUCCCUUGUUUUCCUCCGUGUAUAGUAGCGAUGUUCUAGGGUAACUAGAUAAAUUAUCACUAAUUAAUAGGGUUCUUUUGUGUAACUUAAUGCAUAUGAUGCGAUAUGAUGUAAAUGUAUGAAAUGAAUGCAAAACUAAGAAGGCGUCAAUUCUGAUUCAAUUUCUUUUAAAAGAACUUUAUUAGAAAACAGAAAACUUUACAUAAAACAAGUUAUAUAUACGGCCUAGCCCUUAUGCCCAAAGUUUUAACUCUCUCGAGAAGCCCAGCUAGCUCUCGACCUCGAUCUGACUCUAAUUCAUACUUUACAAUCAACACGUCAGCUUGAACUGCUAGAGUUUGCAAAUGCUCCGCUACCUCUCGAAUCUGAGCCACGGCCUCACCCAUGAUGUGAUUUCUGUCCCUGACUUGGUCCUGAGAUCUAUGUAGCAGCUCUUUCCAAAGCUCAUUAUCUGACUCAAGAAGUUGAUUUUGAUGUUCACGAUUCUGAAGUACAGUCUCAAGUUCUUCUAUCUUCCUUCUCAAAUCCUCGAUCCUAUUUAAGCUUGCCUUCAGCUCUACUGAAGACUUGCGACUACGAGAUUGAUGAAGCGCCAUCUCUAACUCCUCUACUCGAGCUCUUAACAUUUCUUUUUCAUUUUGGCUUUCAACCAAACUCUUUUUUAAGACGCUCUCUCAUGCACAAGUAUUAUGAAAUCUUUUUUCCCAUUGUUCGGCUUUAGACCUUUCCUCUUGGACCUCUUGUUGCCAUUGCUCUGACGUCUUUCCCAGUCCAGCAUUUCUCAUUGACUUAUGUAUCUGCCGAUAAACGGUCUUCAAAGCGUCCAAGUCCUCCUCAGCUUUUCUUUUCCCCUUUUGCAGUUUCUCAGCCUCGAGUUUCUGAACGUCGAUAUCUAACCUUAGAUGCAUCUUCUCUUCCUCCAACUGUUCUAUCUUCUUUCCUAACUCUGAAUUUCUCCUUUUAAAGUCUUGUUUUAUAAUUUCCAGCUCGGAAAGAAUUACUCGUAAGUGUUCUUCCAUUGAUUGGACGCCUUCUAGACUUGGCAUCGGAAUAUUAUCAUUGAUCCUCUUACUCAACCACCUAUUGUACUCAGGAGUCGUCAUUGGGCAUCCAGUCAACUUCUUCAUUUGGUGUGUCUGUUUCCAGGCAUCGGCAAUUUCUCGAACUCUCUUCUUAUAAUUAUCCCCUUUAUACAAAAAUUCACUAUGAGCUAACCCAUGUGUCGCAAGUACAAACUGCUCUAACUCAUAUUGCCUUAACACCAGCAAAGGGGCAUAUCCAACAGUUCCCCAAACUCCAAGCAGAGGUACCCAAUCAAAAUUUCCGCAACGGUAGAGGACUUUAUCGGGAACCAUCCAAUGGGCCUUCCAUUCCACAUCUUUUUCUUAGAGAUUUUGGAGAAUUGUCAUCCACCUUUCUUCUGAUGUGUCGUCCCUCAUGGGCGUAGCUGCUAUCUCUUUCAAAGGGGAAUAAUUUUCAAAAAAAACUCGAUUCGGCCUUCUUUGAACUUUCCAGAAGUGGCCAUGGAACCAAACCAAUAAUAAUUGUACGCAUCCCACGAAUCUUCCUUCACCUGCCCUUCGACACUCAUUUAAAGAUCUGAAUGUCUCUGCUAGAAUUACUGGUACCGGUGUAGCCCGUUUGGCAAGCUGAUCAAAUAAAUCAGUGACUGCUUCGUCGAUAUGUCGUAACGCUUUAGGAACGAUCACUAACCCAUAAAUACUCAAGGAAAAAACGUCAACCUUCUUUUUUGCAUCUGGAUGUGCCAGGAUCAAGUCUCUCAAGUUCACCCAAGGAAUGUAUUUCCCCUCACUUUUUUGUUGAAUUCGGGCUGUAACCCACUGCUCACUCAUCCUAGUGACGUUCAUUAGCUUCUUUACAAAACUUGGUACAUUGGGGACUUAACAUACACUCUGCCCGUUUGAAACCUUGGACAACGUAACAGGGCUGAACACUCCUCCACGGUUGGCACCAAGUCCACUUUCCCAAAGGUGAAACAACUAUAUACGGGGUUCCAGAACUAAGUCAUAGCUCGAAACAAGUACUUGUCUACCUUAAUGUCGAGCAGGUAAGGUAGAUCACCGUAGUUGUAGUAGAACAAUUUCUUGGUCUCGUUAUUCAAGCGGGCCCAUAUAUCCCUCAAUUCUUGGAGCUCAUUCUGUGUCACACUAAUACGUGUGAAGUCCCACAACUCCGACGCAUACCCCUUGGCCAGGCUAUCCCCUUUCUCGAGCUGAGCAUUCUCUGACCAUGCACGGACAAUUGCAUUAUCCCCCACUUUAUCAAGAAGUCAGCUCUCCAUGACAAGCUCUCUAACUUAGUAAUCGAACAGGUAUUGUCACCUUCCUAGAUAUGAAAUGACAUGCAAUCAUAGCAAAAAUAAAACACAUUAAGUUAGUAUCAAAUAGUAAAAAUCAAAGCAAGCAAGAAAUAAUCAAAAACCUAUUUGGGUAAUCACUAGAAUUUGAUAUGGCUCUACUUAGGGUAGGUUCCUAAAGGUUACUAUAUGCGGUUCAAUUCUAAGGAAAGGGUACCUGAACCAGCAGAUUCCUUGAUCCUCACCCAUUAUAGGCUCAUAUGGAUAUAGUUCAGUUCAGGGGGAUACAUUUCCCUAUGGCCAUGCGGAGGUGAAAACCUCACGAAACCAUAGGUACGGAUGUAUCUCGGAAGUGAUCCACUAGCCCAUGCGGAGGUGAAAACCUCACGAAGGCAUAGCUUCUCACUCCCACUUAAGGGUACGACCACAACGGACAUGCAGUAUGAUGCAGGAAUAACAUAAGAGAAAAUAAAAAUGAUACUAACAAAUGUGACGGAAGAAAAAAUAAUUUCAAAACACAAUUUCCAUUUUUGACAAAAGGACAGAAAUUAAUCAAUUUUACGGCUUGACUCUCUGUUAAGGUCCCCAGCGGAGUCGCCAAGCUGUCGAAACCAUUUUUAAUUUUAAAACGUGGAUUGACUUUGAAAACAUGGAUGGAGUCGCCACCAAUUCUUUUUGAGGUGUAAUUAGGUCACCUUAUAAAGCAUUUUGGUCUACGAAUGUUAAGAAAAUAGGUUCGGGAAUCAAUUACGUACGAGGAAGGAUUAGCACCCUCGUAACGCCCAAAAUCGGUACCAAAUUGAUUAAUAAUGUCCUUAUUGUUGAAAAUUUUAAGAGAUUUUAAAAUAUAAUUCUUUUAGAAAAUAUUUGAACGGUUCAUUUUGGGGUAUUAAGGCUUAUUUGUUCCAAAAGGACAAAAUGUCACACCCAGCACGUUAGGAUGCAACAUUUUAACCCUCAAGACCCAAACCUUAAUUUUUCGAAACCUGACACUAGAAGGAUAUUUAAACAUUUAGAUGACCGAAAAAAACCACAACCCAGCACGUUAGGGCACGACUCUUUCGGACUUCCAAAUGCGAAACAUUGCCUUGUUUUAUAAGACUUUCGAAAACGAUCUAAAGUCAAUUAAAAAAUGUAUUUAUUUAAUUUAUUUUUGAAAAAAAUGAAAAAACUAAGAACUGGCUUAAGUGAGUUUAAAUUUGAGUCGUUAUACCAUAUAAGGAAACAGGUAUGCGAUUGUGAAAUAAAUAACAAUAAUCUAAUGCAACAAUAUAAUACGACUAAAUCAUAAUAGGAUCAGAAGAUAUGCAUAUAAAGUAAAAGGCAUAAUUUAAAUUGAACAUAUAUGCAAAAUAACAUAAGAAAAUAUUUUGAAGACCGAGGUAUACUUUAAAAUGGGAUUUAAAAGAAACAAAUGUAUGAAUAAAAUAUAAUACAUAUAUAUAUAUAAAAGAAUAUGGACAGCAAGCAAUAUGAAAUCAAUAAUAAUAUAUAGUGAGGAGUAAUAAAUAAUAAUAAUUUAGUAUAAAAUAACUGAUAAAAAAAUGGUGUAUAUAAAAAACAAUAUGAUAAGUCCAUUAAAGAAUAUAUUUGAAGGAAAAAAAACUUUUAGGGGAAAAAAACGUAUAUAUAUAAGUUAUAAGUAAUAAAAAAAGGUAGUAAAUAGUAAAAAUAAUGAAGAAAAUAAGAAGUAUAAUAAACUAUAUUUAAAAUUAUGAGCCUAAAAAAAAACUAAAUAGUAUAAAAAUGCUUAUUAGUAGAAAACAAUAAUAUAACAAAUAAUAUAAUAAAUAUGAUGAAGAUUUAUACAUAAAAUAAUUAACUUUGCUAAAAAAAACUAUAAUAAGCAUGUAAUAUAAAAUGAUAUAAUAAUGUAAAACAUAACUCAAUUGAUUAAAUUAAAUGAAAAUAAAUAAAAAAUAAUGAAAAUAAUAUAAUAAGCAUAAUAAAUAAUAGUGUAAAAAAAUAAUACAAUAAAUAAUAGGAAAAUAAUUUAAAAAAUGAUAGUAAAAAAAAGUAAUAAUAGAUUAAUAAUAAUACCAAAAAAAAUUUGUGAUAAAAGUGUCUAAAAUAAACAAAAUAGGGCUGAAUUGGAAUCACAACGGAAGUUCUGGGGUAAAACAUAAAUAAAAGGGGAAAGGAGGAUCUCAUUGGAGCGAGCGUGGAAUAAGGGGGUUUAAAAAUGUAAUUUACCCAAAUUCUUGAACCUAGCAUUUAAUAUGGACCAAAUUAAAAGCUGCACAAAAUUGCUGGGUGAAAUUCAAAAACAAAAGUGAAGCAGAUUUGGGCAGCAAGAAAAUGCACGGGGACUUAGUGCGCAAAUUGACCCUUUAAGGGAAAAAUGCGUGGGCCCCACCACUUUAAAAGUUAUUGAAUGGCAUCUACCAUUUUUAAGAACCCAUUUUAUUUUUUAUUUCUAGUGUUUUUCAAAAAAGAAGCAGAAUGCUUCUUCUUCCUUGCUCCCUCUCCAUUUUUGCUAGGAGUUCAACCUAGCUUGCGUCUCCCUGGAGGAUCAUCGGUGCCACGCACCUCCACCCCAUCACCGGUUCAUGGAUCAAGACCGGGUAAAAUGGAAAAUAGUACUUAAAUAUUAAUUAUAAAUUUUUCUCAAGUUUCUGAUUUCAAGUGUAGAGUUUAUGGUAUAGGAUUUAGGUUUAUUUCAAGUUUUGAGUUUAAUGUUUGAAUUUAAGAUUUAUUGUUUAUAUCAAGUUUUCGAUUUUAAGUUUAGAUUUUAUGUUUAAAUAAAAUUAUUAAUAUUUAUUUAUAAGUCAUUCAUUAUAUUAUAUUUCAUCAUUGAUGAGGUGUUAUGUUAUUAUUUAAUAACGAUGCAUGAAAUUCAUAAAUUGUUAAUGCAUUAAAUAUUCCUCCUUUUAAAUAUGUAUCACGUUAGAUUUGAACGGUUACUUAAAUGCUUAAAUC
RNAcentral lists this long non-coding RNA (14670 nucleotides) under Gossypium barbadense (sea-island cotton). RNAcentral describes it as "long non-coding RNA (GBAR_LNC012254)". Lineage: Eukaryota; Viridiplantae; Streptophyta; Magnoliopsida; Malvales; Malvaceae. The record is from RNAcentral.